CAAAAAUGUGAAAUGACCGAACAAUUUUGAGUUUAAACGGUGAAGAAAUGAAGGAACUGAGAGGCGUGAUCGCGGCGGGAGAAGAAACUCGAAGANGGAGCGUCUGCGCGAAGAAGAUGAUACUGUUCAGAAAUUUUAUUUUUUAACUGUGAUAGGGGAAUCUACCGCGGUUAAGUACUUAACCGCGGUAUAUUGUGGUUAUAUGCCGCGGUUUCACAGCAAACCGCGGCCUAUAGUCAUUAAAAAAAUAACCUAAAUGGCAUUUUUGAAAAUUAUUAUGGCACUAUAUACCGCG
Molecule: long non-coding RNA, 295 nt
Filed under: Vigna radiata
Lineage: Eukaryota; Viridiplantae; Streptophyta; Magnoliopsida; Fabales; Fabaceae
Description: long non-coding RNA (VRAD_LNC010343)
Source: RNAcentral